This 378-nucleotide unclassified non-coding RNA is filed under the name uncultured Chlamydiales bacterium. Its description in RNAcentral is "contains 16S-23S intergenic spacer region". Lineage: Bacteria; Pseudomonadati; Chlamydiota; Chlamydiia; Chlamydiales. The record is from RNAcentral.
UCCUAGUUAACCUAGGCAGUCUUGCCAGAGUCCCCGCCAUUACGCGUUGGCAACUGACAAUAAGGGUUGCGCUCGUUGCGGGACUUAACCCAACACCUCACGGCACGAGCUGACGACAGCCAUGCAGCACCUAUAGUAAACCCCUUUCGGGAAACAACAUCUCUGUUGCGGUGCUUACCAUUUCGAGCCUGGGUAAGGUUCUUCGCGUAGCAUCGAAUUAAACCACAUGCUCCACUGCUUGUGCGGGCCCCCGUCAAUUCUUUUGAGUUUCACCCUUGCGAGCGUACUCCCCAGGCGGCAUACUUAACGCGUUAGCUCCGAUACAGAUAGGGUUGAGCCCACCUACAUCUAGUAUGCAACGUUUAAGGCUAGGACUAC